UGAGUACGAGCUGCUACGGCAGCGAAGUGGGUGAUGUCAAGCUUCCAAGAAAAGCCCUAUACCCGUUAAGGCAUGACGGCCUGUACCCGAAACCGACACAGGUGGGGUGGUAGAGAAUACCGAGGGGCGCGAGAUAACUCUCUCUAAGGAACUCGGCAAAAUGGCCCCGUAACUUCGGGAGAAGGGGUGCCACCGCAAGGUGGUCGCAGUGAAGAGGCCCAGGCGACUGUUUACCAAAAACACAGGUCUCCGCUAAGUCGCAAGACGAUGUAUGGGGGCUGACGCCUGCCCAGUGCCGGAAGGUUAAGGAAGCUGGUCAGCGCAAGCGAAGCUAGCGACUGAAGCCCCGGUGAACGGCGGCCGUAACUAUAACGGUCCUAAGGUAGCGAAAUUCCUUGUCGGGUAAGUUCCGACCCGCACGAAAGGCGUAACGAUCUGGGCGCUGUCUCGGAGAGAGGCUCGGCGAAAUAGAAUUGUCUGUGAAGAUGCGGACUACGUGCACCCGGACAGAAAGACCCUAUGAAGCUUUACUGUAGCUUGGUAUUGUGCCCGGGCUCUGAAUGCGCAGGAUAGGUGGGAGGCUUUGAUCCAUUGCUUGUGGGUGAUGGUGAGCCAACGGUGAGAUACCACUCUUUCAGAGCUAGGGUUCUAACCCUCACCCGUUAUCCGGGGAGGGGACAGUAUCAGGUGGGCAGUUUGACUGGGGCGGUCGCCUCCUAAAAGGUAACGGAGGCGCGCAAAGGUUUGCUCAGGCUGGUUGGAAAUCAGCCGACGAGUGUAAAAGCAGAAGCAAGCUUGACUGUGAGACCAACAAGUCAAACAGGGACGAAAGUCGGCUUUAGUGAUCCGACGGUUCUGAGUGUAAGGGCCGUCGCUCAACGGAUAAAAGUUACUCUAAGGAUAACAGGCUGAUCUCCCCCAAGAGUUCACAUCGACGGGGAGGUUUGGCACCUCGAUGUCGGCUCAUCGCAACCUGGGGCUGAAGUCGGUCCCAAGGGUUGGGCUGUUCGCCCAUUAAAGCGGUACGCGAGCUGGGUUCAGAACGUCGUGAGACAGUUCGGUCCAUAUCCGGUGCAUGCGUAAGAACAUUGAGAGGAGUUCUCCCUAGUACGAGAGGACCGGGAGGAACGCACCUCUGGUGUACCAGUUAUCGUGCCAACGGUAAACGCUGGGUAGCCAUGUGCGGAGAGGAUAACCGCUGAAAGCAUCUAAGUGGGAAGCCCACCUCAAGAUGAGUGUUCUCAUGGCUUAAGCCAGUAAGGUCACGGGAAGAACACCCGUUGAUAGGCUCUACGUGGAAGCGCAGCAAUGUGUGAAGCGGAGGAGUACUAAUAGACC
RNAcentral lists this ribosomal RNA (1338 nucleotides) under metagenome. RNAcentral's name for it is "bacterial LSU rRNA". It matches the Rfam family "Bacterial large subunit ribosomal RNA", at positions 1564 to 2910 of the family's 2925-position model. The record is from RNAcentral.